RNAcentral lists this ribosomal RNA (449 nucleotides) under uncultured bacterium. Its description in RNAcentral is "partial 16S ribosomal RNA". It matches the Rfam family "Bacterial small subunit ribosomal RNA", at positions 29 to 523 of the family's 1533-position model. The record is from RNAcentral.
AACGAACGCUGGCGGCAGGCCUAACACAUGCAAGUCGAACGCCCCCUUCGGGGGGAGUGGCGCACGGGUGAGUAACGCGUGGGAAUCUGCCCUUUGGUCUGGAAUAACCCUGGGAGACUAGGGCUAAAACCGGAUAAGCCCCGCGAGGGGGAAAGUUUACGCCGAAGGAGGAGCCCGCGUCCGAUUAGCUAGUUGGUGAGGUAAGAGCUUACCAAGGCGACGAUCGGUAGCUGGUCUGAGAGGACGAUCAGCCACACUGGGACUGAGACACGGCCCAGACUCCUGCGGGAGGCAGCAGUGGGGAAUAUUGGACAAUGGGCGCAAGCCUGAUCCAGCCAUGCCGCGUGAGUGAUGAAGGCCUUCGGGUUGUAAAGCUCUUUUGGCGGGGACGAUGAUGACGGUACCCGCAGAAUAAGCCCCGGCAAACUUCGUGCCAGCCGCCGCAGUAA